Long non-coding RNA from Toxorhynchites rutilus septentrionalis, 730 nucleotides. RefSeq lists it as uncharacterized. The record is from RefSeq and is a predicted model, not a curated record. NCBI's taxonomy places the organism in Eukaryota, Metazoa, Arthropoda, Insecta, Diptera, Culicidae. The transcript is spliced from 3 exons.
UCGACUUAAACUGCGCUCGGGAGAUGAAAAGACAAUUGCCCGCGAAUGUUUGAAAGCGGGACAAAUCCAAGCACAGAAGGGACUUCGGAACGACUACGGAAUUGCUAACAUCGUUAACAAUUGCGUAGUUCCGGUUCCAAUGAAUAUCUGUCUGAUCUGAGGAUCGAAAAGUGUGGUCGCCCAUUCCGACUUUGUCCGUGGAAGAAGGCGGAAGCGGUUAGUGAUUUUGUACCGCGUGUUACCCGUGUUGAAGUGAGAUUAGAAAACUAGUAGUGCGAAUUAAUUGAUACGCUGAAGAAGUUAGAUACUCUCCAGUGCACCAGCAAACCUAAUUGGAGAAAAAGCCGCUUACUGACCCCACGUGCGAGGUCUGGAAGUUACCAUCAUACUCGUCAAUUCUGGUGGCCGCGCGGUGCGCUUACGCAAGACGGCACUCGCGCCAAAAGGGGAAACAGCACACAGUACGCAGCACGGAGCCAUCACUCGUCCGUGUGCGUACUCGAGAUUCAUUGUCCCGUUCAACGUCUGCAGCGAACGACGGUAAAGCAGAACCACGUAAAACCUAGGUCGUGAGUACAAAUCUAUUUAUUUCCGUAACUAAUACAUGCGCAUGUAGGGAAUAAAUAGAGACAGAAGAACCACACAACUAAUAAAUGCCACACAACAAUGCCACACUAGAUUUUGUACAGUGUUCUUACCGACAGUGAGCGCAAGCCCGUCGGCAGAAAGA